GCCAGUAGCCUUACUGGCCUGAGAAUACCCCUCUCUUUUGAUCUCAGAAACCAAGCAGGGUCGGGUGUGGUUAAUACUUGGAUGGGAGACUGCCUGGCAAUACUGAACCCUGUAGGCU
Molecule: ribosomal RNA, 118 nt
Filed under: Charadrius vociferus (killdeer)
Lineage: Eukaryota; Metazoa; Chordata; Aves; Charadriiformes; Charadriidae
Source: RNAcentral